AUUGAACGCUGGCGGCAUGCUUUACACAUGCAAGUCGAACGGCAGCGCGGUCUUCGGCCUGGCUGCGAGUGGCGAACGGGUGAGUAAUGCAUCGGAACGUGCCCAGUAGUUGUGGAUAGCGCGGCGAAAGCCGGAUUCAUACCCCAUACGACCUGAGGGUGAACGCGGGGGACCGAAAGACCUUGCGCCAUUGGAGCGGCCGAUGUCGGAUUAGCUAGUUGGUGGGGUAAAGGCUUACCAAGGCGACGAUCCGUAGCUGGUCUGAGAGGACGACCAGCCACACUGGGACUGAGACACGGCCCAGACUCCUACGGGAGGCAGCAGUGGGGAAUUUUGGACAAUGGGGGCAAGCCUGAUCCAGCCAUGCCGCGUGCGGGAAGAAGGCCUUCGGGUUGUAAAGCGCUUUUGUUCGGGAAGAAAUGCUCUGGGCUAAUACCCCGGGGGGAUGACGGUACCGGAAGAAUAAGCACCGGCUAACUACGUG
This 484-nucleotide ribosomal RNA is filed under the name uncultured bacterium. Its description in RNAcentral is "partial 16S ribosomal RNA". It matches the Rfam family "Bacterial small subunit ribosomal RNA", at positions 28 to 507 of the family's 1533-position model. The record is from RNAcentral.